UUUAGCCCCUACCAUGAAAAGAGAAGAAGAAUGUGCAGAAAAAUCAAUAUGCAUUACAAAGUUUUUCCAAAGUUCUGCAUCUAAGUUUUGGGUGUCUGCUUUGUGAGUAUGACAGACUGCUUUGAGAUUGGAUCAGCUGUAAGAGAAAAGUGAGUAAUUUUCUACUAACUUAGUCUAAAAGCAAAAUAUCUGUUUUGAGAUCAGUACAUCUGUUUAGAACAAGUGCUUUGCUAAGAAGCGUAGUUAAUGGUUAUACAGGCCCUUAUUUUUGUUAAACUGGACCUCACAUGAGAUGUAAGUAGUUCUGUUUUUGGGGAGAUUAGUUAGGCCAAACUCCUGUUUUUUAUUUUUUUAUUUAUUUAUUUUUUAUACUACCUUCAGCUGGCGUGUCUGGAACUCUGUAAACGUUAGAUGCUUCUUUUAUCUUGCAUGUAGGGAGCAUAUUAAUAAGUUGGGAAAUGUUUUACUUUACUUUUGCAGAGGCGAUUUGGGCAGGUAUACGAGUGGAUGGGAGUCCAGGAAGAGCAGGGGAUUGUGUGCUGAGAAAACACUGCGUGUAUCCACUUUCCUUGAAGAUUUUUAGUGUUUCUUUCCAGCCUAUCCCAGGGAAAGUCAAAAGGAAAGACCCAGAGAAAAGUACACCAUCUAUUAAGAAUUCUUUGCAGACCAGUUCAGCUAAGAUGCGGGUGCAACAUUGAGUAAGAUGCACUUCUUUUGAGAUUAGUACAGCUAUGGAACAAAAGAGAAUUGGGAAGAGAUCAGUGUGGAGGAUGGUUUCUACAGUAGAGAUGUGCAUAACAUAUUUUUAUUCUGUGGAUUAAAAGUAGAAACUUUUUGAACUUCGCGUUCCUGACCUAUGGUUUACUUUGAAAUUUUACUUUGUUCCAGAGUGGUGUGGUUUUGGCGCUUUUUUUUUUUUUUUUGUUUUGUUUGUUUUUUUUUUUUUUUUUUUCAUGGAAGGGGAAGGAAAAAAAUUUUUUUUGUUUUUUUUUUACAUGGAAGGGCAAGGAAGUUCAAGUUUUUUAACUCUUACCCAAGGAGGUAUAUUAACGGAUACAUCUAAUGGUUCCAUUGUUCUUAAGCAAGAAGGAAGAAUGAAGGGCUGUACUGCAUCAGCGUUUCCCCCUGCUACCAACAAAGGGGGAACUUUUCAGAGAUUUGAUGAGGCACUUAAUGGUUGGUUGGUGCCUCCAUCAAAUCCGUUUGAUGGAUUACACUCUAAGAAAUUUUCAGCAUUUCCUACUGUUAACUAUAGUUAAAUGUUUGGGCAGUUAGAAAAAGAGCUGCUUAAAUUAAAAAGGUUGCAGUGGGACAAUGCUUAUUUUGACUGUUGUUUAAAAUCACAACGAGUGCCGAAGGGCUUGAGAGUGUCAGUAAUGCCAGCUGGGUCUAAUUAUCACCGAGUUUCUAAACAAAUGGGUGGAACUAAAUCAAUGAACUGGCUUACAAUAUGUUGAACUGUUGCUUGUGUUUAAAAACAGAAAAUGGAAGAUUUAAACCAUAACAUCCGAGUAUCCUUUUUUAAACUGAAAGAUUCACUGACUUCUGAUAAUUUUGAGUCAAAGCUGGGUUUGACUCAAGAUAAACUGAAUAAAUAGAAUGAGGUGUUAAAGAAACGUAAAACUGGUAAAUAUUUGCGAGAUAAAGCAUAUUAUGAAGUUGUGAAUGAAAAAAGACCAGCUGAAGUUCAAGGCGGAGCUAGUAUGUCAGCAACAAAUGAGAGAACUGAAACAGAGGCUGUAUCAGUGGGAGAAAAUGGCCCAAGAAAUGCUAGUACCUCUAAUGAAGAAACAACUGUGACUAUUAAUACCAAAGAAAAAGAUAAUAGUUUGUUGGAAAAAGCUAAGCAGGAUUUUCAAAGCAACAAAAUCAGUCAGUUGGUGAGGGUUUAUCAACGCAAUGGGAAAGACAGCAGAUCUUGGGCAGAAAUAGCAGCAGUUCCUCACAAGAAUUUGCAGAGGAACAACAAAAGACAAUACAACAAGCGCUGAGUCUGCAAGGUACUGUUGAUUCUGCUUUGUUAUAGUUAAUUUAUCUGACAUCACUUUAAAUGAAAAAUUGUGUGUGUUGCAAAAAGGUUGGAACUUUGUACCUGCUAAAAGAGCUGAUAAGUGCAAUACCAUUAAUGCACUCGGGGACUAUGUGAGGAAAUUAAACUUUAAAUGUUUAUUUCCUAACAAGGUUCAGGAACCUUUAUGUUUUGUUAAGCCUAGUACAUAUAACCCGCCUUUGAAAAAAAGAACUUGAAUUGUUCCAAAUGUUAUGUGAGCAGCAAAUUAUAGAAAUGUUUAAUAAUAAACCUUCUUAUAAAUAUUUUAAUAUGAAUCCUGUACAAAAAGAAAUGUUAGAUAAUUUGUUGAACAUUGAAGCUUGUUUUAGUAACGAAAGCUGAUAAGGGUAAUGCUUUAGUAGUUUUAGAUAGGAAUGUAUAUGUGCAAACUAUGAAUGAAAUGUUGUCAGACCAAGCAUUUUAUAGUAAGUUGUUGUUCAAAGAAAUUAAAAAACAGUAUUUGUUCAUAGAUGGACAAAUUGAAGAAUGGUUUUUGACAUGGCAAAUUGCGAAGCAAAUUAGGGAUUUUUUGGUGGUUCCAGCUCCAAAAAUUAGUUGUAUAUUUGGGCAGCCAGAAAUCCACAAAAAUUUAUAUAAGCCACCUAUGCGCCCAAUAGUAAGUAGUAGUGGAAGUAAAACAGAAGCAUGUGCCAUCUAUGGAGAUAAACACUUACAACAAAUAGUGGUAGACAAUGAUGUGAUGCAUGUAUAAAAGACUCCUUUGAUUUUAAAAAUAAGGGAGCUAGAAAUAGACGAAAAUGAUUAUCUUGUUAUACUUGACAUUAAGUCCUUAUAUGAAAUAGUUAGGUUUGAACUAAUUAAAGCUAGAAAGCUUUCACAUGAUACAGUGGGGCUUAUAAUGGAAAUGUUAAAUUUACGUUUAAGCUAUAAUUUCUUCGAAUUUAAUAGUGAGCUAUAUAAACAAACGAAUGGUGUAGCUAUGGGGGCAGCAAUGGCCCUGAGCUGUGCAAAUAUUUUUAUGCAGGGAUGGGAGAGAGUUCAUAUUUAUGAAAGUAUAUAUAAGUGUAAUUUUAUAUUCUCUAAACGUUUUAUUGAUGAUGUUUUUCUUCUUUUGAGAGGGGAUGGUAUUGAUCUAUUUCUGAAGUAUUUAAAUGAGGUAUGUUCUUAUUUAAAAUUUACAUCAGCCUGUGACAAAUUGAGUAUCAACUAUUUGGAUUUAAAUAUUUAUAAGGAAGAUAGGGGUCUCUGCACCUCUAUAUAUAAAAAAGUUUCAAAAUAAUGCAUAUCUGCAUUACGUUAGUUUACAUCCAAACAAAACUAAAAAUAAUAUAGUUAAGAGUCAAAUGAAAAUGGUAGAUAGGUUAACUGACAAGAAAAGUGAUUUUGUCAGAGAAAGUGAGGCUUUAUGUGCUAAUUUUGUGAGUAGAGGGUAUCCUAAGAAAGUAGUAGCAAAAGCUCUAGAAGAAAGUCAAUGUAAUAGACACAAGCUAAGAGUGUCUGAAAAUGUUAAUAAAAAACAAAGUGAUUUUGUGACGUCAAUGCAGAUAGAAAACAGCAUAGAUACUGUUUCCAUUAAAAUAUUGUUAUUAAUAACUGGAAAUUAUUUAAUUCUGAUGCAGAGAUGAUGAAAGUUGAGGGAGAUAGACCAUUAUUUGUACAGAAAAAGGGAGGAAGUUUUAAAAAUUUAUUUCAAGCUAGAGUAAUCCCUCCAACCCCCCCCCCCCCUCCAUUUCUCUACCCACACAGAAUAGGGUUAUUAAUACAGGAAUGUGUAAGUGUUUAAAUUGUAAUAUGUGUAACUUCUUGAUGACAGAUGUCAAACAACUAACAGUGGGAGGGCAUGUGAUAACAUUACAAGGAAAAUGUAGCUGCAAAUCUAGAUUUAUUGUUUAUUUAGGCAUAUGUAUGUCAUGCAAUUCAUUUUAUGUGGGGCAGACAACUAGAGAAUUAAAUAGACGCAUUUAUGAGCAUAAAUAUGCAAUACCUGUGAAAGAUGAAAAAAUGCUUUUGGUAAACAUUAUAAAAAUAAUGCACGUUGUCAAGUGAAUUUCAAGUUUAUUGUGUUAGACGAAGUGAUAAAUGUGCACAAUAGAUUUGAUGCUGAAGAUGAGCUAGGGUGGACGGAAUAUGUUUGGCAAAUUAAACUGAAUGCAUGCUAUCCACCUGGAAUGAAUGAUAGGUCUGAUUUUGUUCCAUGUUUAAAAAAGAGGAAGUUACAUCAAAAUUAAAUGGUCGUGUUUGUUUUAGUAGUAUUUUAAGUUAGUAGUAUUUUACUAUAUUAUUCAGUCUGAGGAAAUCUGAGUUGGAUAAAAGCACUUACUGAUUUAUGAGUCUGUGGAUUAAAAGCAGAUUUUUUUUGAA
Molecule: long non-coding RNA, 4372 nt
Organism: Protopterus annectens (West African lungfish)
Lineage: Eukaryota; Metazoa; Chordata; Ceratodontiformes; Protopteridae
Exons: 2
Source: RefSeq, a predicted model, not a curated record